RNAcentral lists this long non-coding RNA (479 nucleotides) under Gossypium raimondii (Peruvian cotton). Its description in RNAcentral is "long non-coding RNA (GRAI_LNC008547)". The record is from RNAcentral. Lineage: Eukaryota; Viridiplantae; Streptophyta; Magnoliopsida; Malvales; Malvaceae.
GCAGGCAUGGGCGCACGUGGGUGGAGAUGACAGUGGCAGUUGGCGGUGGUUGCUGGCAGAGCAGGUGAGCAGAAGACCAAGGGUGGUUGUGGCGCUAGGCUAGGGAGAGCGGCUAGGUUUUUUUUGUUUCUUUCUUUUUUUUUGGCUGAAAAUAGUUUAGGUUUUUGGCUUGUUAGGCCAUUAGGGUUUUAAUUUAUUUGGGCUGAUGUUUGGGUCAUGGGUGUUGGGUUAGUGUUUAGGUGGGUUGAGGUUUGGGUGUAUGUAUUUUAUUUGUUUGUAAUGGGCCCGGGUGAAAUUGGGCUUCUACACAAUUCACAUUUAAACUAGAGUUAAAAACAAGUAUUUCAUUAAUUUGAGCAAUACUAAAUCAUUACAAACAAAACUCUUAGCUCAAAUAGGCCUUAAAACAUUGUUUGGAGGUCUGAAUUUAAAAAUUGGGAGCCAAGUCUCGAUACUUAGGGCCAGUGUAUCGAUACAUG